Molecule: long non-coding RNA, 722 nt
Organism: Aedes aegypti (yellow fever mosquito)
Lineage: Eukaryota; Metazoa; Arthropoda; Insecta; Diptera; Culicidae
Exons: 2
Source: RefSeq, a predicted model, not a curated record
CGGAACUUCCAAGAGGCAUAAUUUCCGUUGCCAAGCUUGGCAAACGACGCUUUCCAGCCAUCCGCCAUUUUGUCUUUUCACUAACGUACACGCGAUCGCACCACAAAACACUCUUCGGGAAUCCAACACCGGAUCCUUCCCGGAAAAACAGUUUUCCACCGGAACACUUCACUAAUUACACUCCCGAGAACCUGGCGCCCAUAACCUGAAGGAUUGGAACGACCAGCAGAUGCGCAGAACCGGAGUAAAAACGGACCGUAAAGUAUUUCGGACAACUGAAAGAAAUAACGCGGCCGAUCUCUACACGCUAACUUUGAAGUACCCAUUAAAUGGGUUUCUUGUACCCAUUUUUAUUUCUAGUACUGAGUUGUCAGAAAAAGGGUAUUAUUUUUUGACACUAAAAAGGGUACGUUUUACUCUUCUUGAAGAAUGAGUUCCGUCAACAAUAAUGGGUAAAAAAGCCACUUGUCGUUGUUUGGGGCAGCAACAUUGAAAUUUUUUGCCGCUGUUCAUAUUGUAUUAAUUAAUUGAAAGAACAAUGCAAACCCCUCGAAGAAGCAUGAGAAGCAGCAAUUUAAGUGUUAUUUUUCAUCCAAGAUCUGGAACCGGAAGACACGCAGUAAGAUCCAGGAAUACAGAUGGACUCACAAGCAAGUCACCGUAUUGAUGUUCGAAUUGACCCUUUAUAAAUGAUCCAAUAAAAUGAUUUUUAUUAGACUGUA